GAGGAUAUAGCUCAAGUGGUAGAGCGCAUGCCUAGCAUGCACAAGGUCCUGGGUUCAAUCCCCAGUACCUCCU
RNAcentral lists this transfer RNA (73 nucleotides) under Camelus bactrianus (Bactrian camel). It matches the Rfam family "tRNA". From Rfam's summary of the family: Transfer RNA (tRNA) molecules are approximately 80 nucleotides in length. Their secondary structure includes four short double-helical elements and three loops (D, anti-codon, and T loops). The record is from Rfam by way of RNAcentral. RNAcentral also lists the same sequence under 2 other names. Lineage: Eukaryota; Metazoa; Chordata; Mammalia; Artiodactyla; Camelidae.